GUGAAUCAUCGAAUCUUUGAACGCACCUUGCGCCCCUUGGUAUUCCGAGGAGCAUGCCUGUUUGAGUGUCACGUUAAUACCUCACCCCCCCUUCGGUCACCUGAAGGGGCGCGGUGGACUUGGACCGUGCCGUGGUUGGCUCGUUCUGAAAUGCAUGGGCUCUUCUCGAGGAUUGCCUCCUUGGUGUGAUAGUCAUCUACGCCUCUGGAGUUAAGCAAGCCUCUGGGGCCUUACCGUCCUCGGACAAUGUCAAUUUUGACCUUUGACCUCAAAUCAGGUAGGACUACCCGCUGAACUUAAGCAUAUCAAUAAGGCGAGG
Molecule: ribosomal RNA, 319 nt
Filed under: uncultured fungus
Lineage: Eukaryota; Fungi
Description: eukaryotic LSU rRNA
Rfam family: 5.8S ribosomal RNA (bases 1-71)
Source: RNAcentral